This 1027-nucleotide long non-coding RNA is filed under the name Helianthus annuus (common sunflower). RNAcentral's name for it is "hypothetical non coding rna". The record is from RNAcentral. Lineage: Eukaryota; Viridiplantae; Streptophyta; Magnoliopsida; Asterales; Asteraceae.
UUCUCCAUCAUCUUCAUCAUAUCUUCAUUCUACAUCUUAGAAUUCUAAUUUUCCAUAACCACACUCCAUACUACAUGGCUCCACUCUUCUUUUGCUUUUCUUUCUAAAGAUGCAAGCUAAAGAUUUUCAUAAAAGGAAGAUUCGAUUUUAAAUUGAUGAAGAUUCGAUUUUAAAGCUGACCGGCCCGACCAGACCAUACGUGACCCAACGGCCCGACCGCCGGCUCUCGGCCCGAUCACCGGGCGAAUGCUGAAACGGUUUAACAAGCAGAACCGGCCCGGUGUGCACUCCGGAACCCGGCCGGACUGGUCCGACCGGCCGGCCCGGUCCGGUUUUUAAAACAUUGGUUGCGCACAUGGUGCAUGGGCACUGAGGUGACGUGCGCGGCGCACCUAAGUGAGCCAAAACGGCGCGACUGUGUGGCGUGCUCGUAGAGGCUACCAGGUGACGUGGCGCACGCGCGUAGGUGCGCAUGAGACUAAGGCGCACGCGCGCAUGGCAGUGAGCCAAAUGGACGCACCGCGAAUGAGCGUGCAGACCUGCACGCACGCACCAAGGCGGCUUGCGCGCGCGCGCGCAGAAGCUUGCAGCAGUAGUUAAUGCAGUGCAGUUACGGUUCAGCAUUCGAAACUGACGAAGUUAAUGCGUUUGACUGAGAAUUUAAUGACGAAUUAAAGUGCAUUGAAGACGUUUAAUGCAGCUUAAUUCACCCAUUAAAUUCGUUUUUCAGUUUCUUCAAAAUUCUUCAUCUUCUCUCAAGAAGCAAGGUACACCUUCGGGUUGGAGUUAAGACCGGCAGUGCAACUGCUUGCGGCUGUUGUAUCCUGGAAACAAACGUGUUCUCCUGGGAGACACGAAAUUUGUUUUAAGGGACCCGUGUCUAACACGAUCCUCAGCCAAGAACAGUUUCGUCUGUUCGAGUUUUCUAUUCUUGUAUUUCUAUUUUUCAGUUGUAAUUGUAUUGUACUUCUAUUUUAUUCUGUAAUUGUUUCUGUUGUUCAAGUUAAUAAAGUAUUUUUAUUUAUUU